This 253-nucleotide ribosomal RNA is filed under the name uncultured bacterium. RNAcentral describes it as "partial 16S ribosomal RNA". It matches the Rfam family "Bacterial small subunit ribosomal RNA", at positions 524 to 776 of the family's 1533-position model. The record is from RNAcentral.
UACGGACGGUGCAAGCGUUAUCCGGAUUUAUUGGGUUUAAAGGGUCCGUAGGCGGAUCUGUAAGUCAGUGGUGAAAUCUCAUAGCUUAACUAUGAAACUGCCAUUGAUACUGCAGGUCUUGAGUAAGGUAGAAGUAGCUGGAAUAAGUAGUGUAGCGGUGAAAUGCAUAGAUAUUACUUAGAACACCAAUUGCGAAGGCAGGUUACUAUGUCUUAACUGACGCUGAUGGACGAAAGCGUGGGGAGCAAACAGG